Molecule: transfer RNA, 66 nt
Filed under: Phaenopsectra flavipes
Lineage: Eukaryota; Metazoa; Arthropoda; Insecta; Diptera; Chironomidae
Description: tRNA-Ala
Rfam family: tRNA
About the family: Transfer RNA (tRNA) molecules are approximately 80 nucleotides in length. Their secondary structure includes four short double-helical elements and three loops (D, anti-codon, and T loops).
Source: RNAcentral
AAGAAUAUAGUUAAAUAUAACAUUUGAUUUGCAUUCAAAAAGUAUUAGAAAUUCUAAUUAUUCUUA